RNAcentral lists this ribosomal RNA (253 nucleotides) under uncultured bacterium. RNAcentral describes it as "partial 16S ribosomal RNA". It matches the Rfam family "Bacterial small subunit ribosomal RNA", at positions 524 to 776 of the family's 1533-position model. The record is from RNAcentral.
AACGUAGGAGGCGAGCGUUAUCCGGAAUCACUGGGCGUAAAGGGCGCGUAGGUGGCUUGGUAAGUGUGUGGUGAAAGCCUGGGGCUCAACCCCAGGUCUGCCGUGCGAACUGCCAAGCUUGAGCAUAGUAGAGGCAGGUGGAAUUUCGGGUGUAGCGGUGGAAUGCGUAGAUAUCCGAAAGAACACCGGUGGCGAAGGCGGCCUGCUGGGCUAUUGCUGACACUGAGGCGCGACAGCGUGGGGAGCAAACAGG